AAUUAUUCAAUUAACUAGUUGUAUACUUCCUCCAUAGAAAAGACAUUUUCCACUUCAUCUUGCUAAAAGUGCCGCUAUUGACUGGAUUAGUUUCCAACAUUGUCCAAACGAUUUCUUCUUUCCCAUGAUUGGGAGUCCCAUGUAUGAUAUGGGUAGACUUUUAACAACAUAUCCUAAGAUAUCAUGAAGAGAUUGAUCUUUGCGCAUACUUUCAAGAAGGUGGAAGAGCUCUUGUUCGAGUUUACUUACGAUCCUGAAAAUAACGAGAAUUUCUCAUGCAGUGCCUUAAUUGCAUUAAGCGAUUUCGGAUUUUCCUUUGAGAAGAUAAGGACAUCAUCCGCAUACAUAAGGUGGGAUAUAGAAGUAACACCAAUACACCAUUAACCUAAUAGGUGUCUAUCCUUUUGUUCCUCACUUCAUUCUGUAUCAAUCUACCUAGAAUGUCCAUAACCUUGCCUAAUCUCCCUCUGGCUUUUGAAACAAGGGGUUGGGGUCCCUACCACCAGUACCAAAAAUGAAGCAGAAGAUGUGCAAUUCCUAAUCAUUUUUGCAGAAUACAGAAAAAAGUCAUACGCCUCAAGGGUGGCAAUUAUAGCCUCCCACCGGACUGUGUCAAAGGCUU
RNAcentral lists this long non-coding RNA (622 nucleotides) under Zostera marina. RNAcentral describes it as "long non-coding RNA (ZMAR_LNC004238)". Lineage: Eukaryota; Viridiplantae; Streptophyta; Magnoliopsida; Alismatales; Zosteraceae. The record is from RNAcentral.